GUGGCAGUAGCUCAGUGGUAGAGCUCGACCUUCGUACGCGGGAAGACCCGGGUUCAAUUCCUGGCUGCUUUC
This 72-nucleotide transfer RNA is filed under the name Toxocara canis (dog roundworm). It matches the Rfam family "tRNA". From Rfam's summary of the family: Transfer RNA (tRNA) molecules are approximately 80 nucleotides in length. Their secondary structure includes four short double-helical elements and three loops (D, anti-codon, and T loops). Lineage: Eukaryota; Metazoa; Nematoda; Chromadorea; Rhabditida; Toxocaridae. The record is from Rfam by way of RNAcentral.